CCGAACUGGUGAAACCCCAGGCCACCAAAGUGGAGUGUGCAAACCCAACCACUCUGCCAUGGGGCCAGUCUCCCAGGGCAUACUGUAUUGUGAUGCUAACAUAUGCAGCCUGAAGGGGAAAAUAUGGGGUGUUAAUAAUGUUGAUAUAAGUUGUAUUAGCUGAAUGUCACAUUAUAUUUUGGUGCUUUGGUUCAAAAACAAAAUUAUCACCUUAUCACAAAGUUUUAGCAUCUUGGAGGAACAUUCAUUUGAAAAGCUAUAUAAUAAUAAACAUUUUUGUUUCUUCCCACAACUAGCUGGUGAUGAUUUUGUGAGUCCUUUCUCUUAAGAUUAGGAUUUCUUUCACAUUCUGGUCUCCUCUAGAGGUCGAUUCAUGAAGUCUUGAAUAGCCUGAUGCAAAGGAAGCCAUUUUUUGAUAGACAUUUUCAGAGCUGUAAUCCAGCUGCAGAAACAACAGUGCAGGACAGAACCAAAUUAUGAACCAGAUGCCCAUUAGUGCAUGCCGAGCUGGAUACUGAACAUAAUGAAUUUGAUAGGUGUGGCACAAAGGGAUCAUCUGAGCAGUCAUCCUUUGCCAGUGGUCAUCGACUCCCAGAACUGAUGGCAUCAGCACCAAGGCUGUUUGACUUCAAAGAAGCCGCUGCCCUAAGAGAUUCUAUUGCUGAGGCAAUGUGAGUACUUGAGCAACUAGCCUGAAAUCCUGACUUUAUCCAUUAGCCAUAGAGAACUUCUCUCUUUUCAUGUCCACUGACAUCCCUUCUCUUUGGCUUCUGUUCUAUGUGAGGAAGUCAAAAGAAUAUGAGAGAUGUAUAGAAAGGAAAUGAAAAUGGGCACCUCAGCAAAAGCUAUUUUUAAUGGCUCUGUCUAUAUGUACAGGCCCUGAUGUGCUAUUUCACUCACCAUUGGGAUUGUCCUCCUAGCCCUGUUCCUGGUGUAUCCACUGUGACUAAUAGCAGCCCCUGGUUCAUGCUUUACUUUGUCUAGAACUCCCAUUUAUGCAAAGGAACAAGUUAAAUGCCCCAGGCUAGAUCCAGCCUUAGGCUCUCACGGUCAGUGAUGUGGAAGACCCAUGAUAAAUCAAGAUCCUCUACUCUGGAGAGCAGCCUUCGGUGCACAGCCCUGAGAGGCAGGCUUUUCCUGGGAACUUGACCUGAGGCAGCGAGCAUGGUGCUUCAUCUCUUUAUCAGAACGCCCUGCUGGGUGUUGGCCAGUUUCUCUUCUUUAUUUGGUUUCAUUUUUGCUCUUUAGUUUUAACAAGACAGUGCCAAAGAUUUCAGAAUGCAGAGCUGACUGUAUGUUGUGCUGUGAAGUGGGAGCCUGCUGGGAGUUUGGGUGUUCCUUUUACACUCUGCUGCAGAUACUCUGAGUGCAUUAGCAGAAUAGAUCCCUCUUAAAAAUAUCAAGGCUCAUUAGGAUGACGCACUGGAGAGAUGGAUGAGUGCAUUGAGCGUUGUGUUCCAGGUAAAAUGAAACACAAGUCCUGCUGUUUGUCAUAAGAUGAUCCAGGGACUGUUCUGAAAGGACAGUUACAAGGCACAGGGCAGUACAUUUCAGCUCAAAAAUCCAAUUUUCCUGAAUGUACAAGAAUCAAAACAUGUACAGAAGAUAAUUGAUAGCAAAUACCUCUUGCUUGUAUGCUAUUUUGAGAGGAAAUGAACAUGUUUAAAAGGAAAUCUAUAACCUUAUUAGAAAUCAUAUCCAAAGCAUAAAAAUGAAACAAGUGAGUAUUAAAGCAACCCUCCCCGCCUCCCCACCCCCAUCCCACACCGCGUGCCAAGCCAGGUCAUAGCACUGGCUCAGAAAGAGGGUAUCAGAUGCCUUGGGGGCUGAAGUUAUGGCUCAUGUGUUGAUGUUAUGAAGUUAUCUAUCAGUUUAUAGGACAAGUCUCAAUUAAAAAAUAUAUUGCUUCAAGGCUAGGAAUCGUGAAUAGGCAGAAUUGGUGAAAUUUGGCCUAAUACAUCUCUGGAACAAGGAUAUGAACGUAAAGCACUGCAUUUCUGAACAUGAGACAUUCAUUUUCUAAUAAGCUGCUCGGCCGACAGCACUAUCCCGAUGUCCCUGAGAGCUUGUACUGAGGGAGUGCAAAGAAAACAGAAGCAGUGAUUUAACUUCACGGGGAACAACCGGACUGCUCCGUGUGGAACAAAUUCCAUCCCGGUUUGUGACUACCCACCGAGCUCACUGAGAGAAAUGUCAUACAAACCCCUGAAAGUAAAAAGAACAGCAGGAAAGCAAUCCUCCCCCUGGAAUCUGAGUGGGAAACCCUGUUGACUUAAAAUCCUCUUUCUCAGCUUUGAGAGCAGAUCUGAGAAGUCCCAGGGCAGACUGCAUGACAUCUAACUUGGUCCUUUCUACCUCUGAGGAGAAAAGCAGAAUGAAGGGAGGGAUAAAUAUCAAGGACAACUUACCUGGCGGACAGGAUGCACUGCUUUGUCCAUUGCCUCAAGCCAUCUGAAAGACAGUAAAAUGAGCGGCGCUCUCCUUAAGGGGCUGGGUAAGUGUCACACGGAGGGGCCUGUUCUCCCUAAAACCCGUCGUUCAGACAGAACAGUCCUGAGGCUCAGAUAUAUUUCACUGCUCUAAGUUCAAGGUUGAAGGGCGACACAUUCUUACAAAAUUGACAUUACUAGGUGGCAAAAACCCACUCCCAUUGGGCAUAUUUAAAGUAAAUUAUUCUCAUUCUCCUCCUUUACUAUAGUUUAAUUAGCGCCUAAAAGAAAAUUCGUUCACUUUUUAUUUUACCCAGGUAUGUGAAUUUAUUAACACCAGCAGGGCUGAUGAUAAUUGGUAUAUUAACAGUAAGACACUGGCUAUUAAAAUAGGGAAAGACUGGUAAAUAGUCACUGUCUUGAGCCUGUCCCCAAGUGUUCUUUGAACAUAGUGGCGACCUUUAGAGCACCAUUAGUGCUGCUGCUUGAGCACUGGAUUUUCUUAGUCUUGUCUCCUUAGCCAGGUACCAGCCUAUCUACCACACCCCAUCUUGUCAAUCUUCUUCCGUUUUCUUUUAAAUCCCCUGACAUUCAAUCAAACAUACUGCUUGCUCUUCUCCCCAAAGCUUGACUUAUUCCCUCUGCCCUCUUCUGUUCCCUUUCUUCUUUGGUUUGCUUAUCUGAUCCUAUACCACACCUUUCAUAAACUCCGCCAUCAUCCCACAUCCAGAGACCUUCUCUCCCUACUCUCAACUCCUGUGCCACUCUGUCUUCUUCUAUAGCACUUCUUGAUUUCCAUUUUGCAUUAAAAAUAUUGGAAUAAAUGACCUAUCUUCUUGGCUUAAAGCUUUUUCGAAGGCAAGAAUUGGCGCUUAAUCAAUCUAAUGGCUCGCAGAGAAUUCAAAACAGUGUCUUAGACAUAUUAGCUAUCCAAUAAAUAUUUUGUCCAUGAAUUGAAAUACAAUCAAGCCACUAUUAUCAUAUUUCUCUGUUUGUCCUUUAAGCAACAUGCAUUUGAAUACAUAAUGUUCCACAAAUAGAACAGUAUAUUGUUUGCCUAAGAGGUUUCAGACCCAGGCCUCUCUUGAAAACUGGAGCUGAGUCCAAAUCCUCUUAAAGAGAUAUGCCACUGACACUCAAUGCUAUAGACCCAUUACCUUUUUGUCAUUGUGUGUCUCGCAGCCACUCCAUGUCAUCCCUCACCCUAAAUGAGCAGUUACUUACACAACAGUUUUCAGUAGACUCACUGGAUUGACCAAUGAUCUCUGUUCCCUCAGGGUGAUACAUUGAAUAAUGAUCAGAAGUCGCUGAAUGCUGGGAGUUUGCAGGCUACCCUCUUAGAAUGCCUGCACACUUCCCCCCUCCACUUGGGUUGCAUGCUUACAAAACGUCAGCUCGAUUCCUUGCCCACAAAGCUCCAUUAUUAUUAUUUAUUUUGCUCAUCUCACUGUGGUGUGCUAAAUGGUAACUCUACUACGUUAUUUUUAUACCUGGGACUAUCCAUCCAAUUAGCUUAAAAUAUAUAAAUCUGGUAACUUUUUUUGGGAGGCUAGAGCAUUGAGCUUUUUUAGAAAAUGUGGAGAUAUAAAAUAAAUGGGUUAGGAGAAGGUUCUGUUCUUUAGAAGUUCUGUUAGAAAAAAGCUGGGGGAAUAGUGAAGAACCAAACUUCUCAUACCUAAGAAAAAGACAGUUUAUUGACUUGUGCUAUGCGUUUGCUUUUCCCUUCCCUACUUCCAGUCCCAAGAGUCUGUAAGCCUGUUGUUGAAAAAGCAUUCCCCUACCCAAAGUGAAACUGGUAAAAUGUUAACGAGCCACCUUUUCAUUUCUUGGUUUGAGGUUGCACAGAGGCAAAAAGUUCUCUUUCCAGACUGAGGCACACAGUUAAACACAAAUGGUUUUCCCAAGCUGUGAUCGAUGCCAACUUCUGCACCUUCUAAUUUUACCACCUCCAGAGGCAGGCUUUUUCCUUCGUCCUGUAAUUGAUAAGAAAUAGGUUCAGCAUGGGUGCCGCAACUAAGCAGACAAGGGAGAAAAUGAGAGUGGAAAGGAGGCCCAUAGCUAUUUUUUUAAAUUGAUUGUUCUGAAAUGAAACUAAAGUCAAAAUGAGUUUUCAUAGAUUAUGUUCUCCAUGAUAUAUUCCACCAAACUCCAUAUUUCCCACUACGAUACUUUUCCAUAACCGUUUUGAAUUGCCUCUGUUAAUAUGCAUCUUAUUUAUGCCGAUUUGGGAAAGUAUCAUUAAUUAUUAAUACCCAUUUUUUCCUAUCAGCAAAAAAGAACAUCAAAAGAAACUGAUAUUACAAAAUAUAUGUGGUUGGUAGUGACAUGAGAUCUCCAGUCAGCGUUUAUAAUUAACAUGUAUCCCAUGCUUGUGGUGUGUCAGGCCCUUUUUCUAAAUUCUUUAUAUCUAUUAAUUGGUUUAUCUUCACAAAUGUCCGCAAGGUAGUUACUUUUAUCUUCUCUAUUUUGCAGAUCAGGAAACUACAGGAUAGAGAGAAUAAAGAACAUUUUUCUUUAAAUGAUAGUAGUUUAAAAUAUUAUGACAUGUAUGCAAGACUAAAAUUAUUUUACAGGUAAAUAUUUUAUUUAUAUUUAUUUUACAAUUAUAUCUCAAAACACCCUGUCCAUUAUUCAUGUCUUUUCUAAAAACAGCUACACUGAGGUAUAACUUACAUACCAUAAAGUCACUCAUUGUACAUAUAUAAUUCAGUGACUUUUAGUAAAUUUAUAAAGCUGUGAAACGAUUGCCACAAUCCAGUUUUCGAACUUUUCCGCCAACCUCCAAAUUUUCUUUGAGUCUGUUUGCAGUCAGCUGCCACUUUCGCCUCUCCAAUUACAGGCAAUCACAGAGCUGUUUUCUGUCCCUAUAAAGUUGCCAAUUCUGGACAUUUCAUACAAGUUGAAUCACACACUAUGUGGCCUUCUUUCACUUAGUGUAAUGUUUUCAAGUUUCAUCCAUGUUGUAGCAUCCUUUUUAUUGCUGAACUUUAUUCUAUUAUACGGGUGUGCCUAAUUUAGUUAUCCAUUCAGAAGUUGAUGGAGAUUUUUCUUUCCAGUUUUGGGCUAUUUUUAAUAAUGCUUCUAUGAAAAUUUGUGUACAGGUC
This is a non-coding RNA of Equus caballus (horse), 5533 nucleotides long. The record is from RefSeq and is a predicted model, not a curated record. Lineage: Eukaryota; Metazoa; Chordata; Mammalia; Perissodactyla; Equidae.